UUAUUUAUAAUAACGAGUCGAACCUGCCCAGUGAUUUAUUUAACGGCCGCAGUACUCUGACUGUGCAAAGGUAGCAUAAUCAUUUGCCUUAUAAUUAAAGGCUAGUAUGAAUGGUUUGACAAGAAUAACGCUGUCUCUUUCGAAUUUUAUAGAAUUUGGUUUUUAGGUGAGGAAACCUAAAUAAAAUUAAAAGACAAGAAGACCCUAUCGAGCUUUAAAUAAUUUCUUUGUUAUUAGGUAAUACCGGUUUCAGUGAAAAAUUUUGGUUGGGGCGACUAAGGAACACAAAAAGCUUCCUAUAAAAUAUAUCUACGUUUAAGUUUUGAUCCAAAAUGUUUGAUUGACAGAAUUAGUUACCGUAGGGAUAACAGCAUAAUUUUUUUUAAGAGUUCUUAUCGAAAAAAAAGUUUGUGACCUCGAUGUUGGACUAGGGUAUCCAGAAAGGUGCAGAAGCCUUCGAUGGUUGGUCUGUUCGACCA
This 479-nucleotide ribosomal RNA is filed under the name Hydrobia knysnaensis. RNAcentral describes it as "partial 16S large subunit ribosomal RNA". It matches the Rfam family "Bacterial large subunit ribosomal RNA", at positions 1836 to 2587 of the family's 2925-position model. The record is from RNAcentral. Lineage: Eukaryota; Metazoa; Mollusca; Gastropoda; Littorinimorpha; Hydrobiidae.